Molecule: transfer RNA, 24 nt
Filed under: Panax ginseng (ginseng)
Lineage: Eukaryota; Viridiplantae; Streptophyta; Magnoliopsida; Apiales; Araliaceae
Also listed under: 16 other names
Description: partial tRNA-Cys
Source: RNAcentral
CCAGUUCAAAUCUGGGUGUCGCCU